AGCCGCGGUAAUACGUAGGUCCCCGAGCCGUUGUCCGGAUUUAUUGGGGCGUAAAGCGAGCGCAGGCGGUUUGAUAAGUCUGAAGUUAAAGGCUGUGGCUCAACCGAUAGUUCGCUUUGGAAACUGUCAAACUUGAGUGCAGAAGGGGAGAGUGGAAUUCCAUGUGUAGCGGUGAAAUGCGUAGAUAUAUGGAGGAACACCGGUGGCGAAAGCGGCUCUCUGGUCUGUAACUGACGCUGAGGCUACGAAAGCGUGGGGAGCGAACAGGAUUAGAUACCCUGGUAGUCCACGCCGUAAACGAUGAGUGCUAGGUGUUGGAUCCUUCCGGGAUUCAGUGCCGCAGCUAACGCAUUAAGCACUCCGCCUGGGGAGUACGACCGCAAGGUUGAAACUCAAAGGAUUGACGGGGCCGCACAGCGGUGGAGCAUGUGGUUAAUUCGAAGCAACGCGAAGAACCUUACCAGGUCUUGACAUCCCGAUGCUAUUUCUAGAGAUAGAAAGUUACUUCGGUACAUCGGUGACAGGUGGUGCGAUGGGUUGUUCCGG
This 546-nucleotide ribosomal RNA is filed under the name uncultured Streptococcus sp. Its description in RNAcentral is "bacterial SSU rRNA". It matches the Rfam family "Bacterial small subunit ribosomal RNA", at positions 513 to 1058 of the family's 1533-position model. Lineage: Bacteria; Bacillati; Bacillota; Bacilli; Lactobacillales; Streptococcaceae. The record is from RNAcentral.